RNAcentral lists this ribosomal RNA (903 nucleotides) under uncultured bacterium. Its description in RNAcentral is "bacterial SSU rRNA". It matches the Rfam family "Bacterial small subunit ribosomal RNA", at positions 8 to 916 of the family's 1533-position model. The record is from RNAcentral.
AGAGUUUGAUCCUGGCUCAGGAUGAACGCUGGCGGCGUGCCUAAUACAUGCAAGUCGAACGAGGUGCUUUUGUAGCAAUACGGAAGUAUCCUAGUGGCGAACGGGUGAGUAACGCGUUGGUGACCUACCCCAAAGUGUGGGAUAACAGUCCGAAAGGACUGCUAAUACCGCAUGUGGUCCUCAGGUUUAGAAACUGAUGACUAAAGGAGCAAUUCGCUUUGGGAGGGACCUGCGUCCCAUCAGCUAGUUGGUAGGGUAAUGGCCUACCAAGGCGACGAUGGUUAGCGGGUCUGAGAGGAUGAUCCGUCACACUGGCACUGGAACACGGGCCAGACUCCUACGGGAGGCAGCAGUGAGGAAUAUUGCGCAAUGGGGGAAACCCUGACGCAGCAACGCCGCGUGAGUGAUGAAGGCCUUCGGGUCGUAAAGCUCUGUCAAGUGGGACGAAGGAAGUGACGGUACCUCUGGAGGAAGCCCCGGCUAACUCCGUGCCAGCAGCCGCGGUAAUACGGGGGGGGCAAGCGUUGUUCGGAAUUACUGGGCGUAAAGGGCGCGUAGGCGGUUUCGGAAGUCAUGGGUGAAAGUCCUCGGCUCAACCGAGGGAUUGCCUGUGAAACCACGGGACUGGAGUGCUGGAGAGGGAAGCGGAAUUCCCAGUGUAGCGGUGAAAUGCGUAGAUAUUGGGAGGAACAUCUGUGGCGAAGGCGGCUUUCUGGACAGACACUGACGCUGAGGCGCGAAAGCCAGGGGAGCGAACGGGAUUAGAUACCCCGGUAGUCCUGGCUGUAAACGAUGAACACUUGGUGUGGGGGGUGAUGAAAGUCCCUCUGUGCCGGAGAGAACUCGUUAAGUGUUCCGCCUGGGGAGUACGGCCGCAAGGCUGAAACUUAAAGGAAUUGACGG